UACGUAGGGGGCAAGCGUUGUCCGGAUUUAUUGGGCGUAAAGAGCGUGUAGGCGGCCAUACAGGUCCGUUGUGAAAACUGGAGGCUUAACCUCCAGACGUCGAUGGAAACCGUAUGGCUAGAGUCCGGAAGAGGAGAGUGGAAUUCCUGGUGUAGCGGUGAAAUGCGCAGAUAUCAGGAAGAACACCCGUGGCGAAGGCGGCUCUCUGGGACGGUACUGACGCUGAGACGCGAAAGCGUGGGGAGCGAUCCGG
Molecule: ribosomal RNA, 253 nt
Filed under: uncultured bacterium
Lineage: Bacteria
Description: partial 16S ribosomal RNA
Rfam family: Bacterial small subunit ribosomal RNA
Source: RNAcentral